RNA transcript from Photinus pyralis (common eastern firefly), 2327 nucleotides. It is a transcript of the gene named zinc finger protein OZF-like, with no coding region annotated. The record is from RefSeq and is a predicted model, not a curated record. NCBI's taxonomy places the organism in Eukaryota, Metazoa, Arthropoda, Insecta, Coleoptera, Lampyridae. The transcript has 4 exons.
ACACCGCCUAUCUGAGGUAAACUACAAGUAAAAAUAGUAACAGAUCCACUUCCAAAUCCAACAUCAUAACCUAAAUAAAUAAAAUUUUAAAUUACAAUAAUUUGUUUCUAAAAAAGUAUGGAGUCUUUCGUCGAGUACGAGCAUGUGCACAUAGAAGAGGUAUGCAGGUUGUGCUUAAACAAACACGAUCAAAUGAGUUUAAUUUGCGACUCAGGAGUAGCAGAUCUGCUCUUAGAGUGUGCCUCGAUCCAAGUAACGCCGGAUAACGGUUUAUAUAAUCUAGUAUGUCAUCAGUGUGCGAAUGAUGUCAGUCGUUGGUACGUAUUUAAACAACAAGUCGUAAGAUCAUUUGAAAUUGGCCGAUGGUUAUUACAAAAGAAAGUAAAAAAUGAUGUGAAUUUUGUGUUCGACACUUCCAGUGUACCACACGAUACACAUUCCGAACAUUCCAACUCCGUUAUUGAAGAUGAGGAUGAAUUAAAAGACCUUUUGAACCAGCGUGAUGCUGGAUUUGCUCCAUCAAGUUCAACAAAACUGACAUCAGAUCUAAGCAGCGUUAUAGAAGUGAUAGAAAGUGUUGCGUUAGAUAACUGCAACAUCACUUCAACUUCUUCCGUUACAACAGGACCAAAACGUAAAAAAUCAUUAGAGGAACUAUUAUGUGUUACAUGCGGAAAACAAUGCACUUCCACAAACUCCUACAACAGACAUUUAAAAACGCACGAUGAUUCGCGCCCGUUUAUCUGUAGCAAAUGUGAUAAACCAUUUAAAACGUCACAGGUUUUGGCAGAGCAUAUGAAACGGCACUACGAUGACAGAAGGCACAAAUGUGAAAUCUGUGCACAAAAGUUUUACGCCAAGGCCAGUUUGAAUGAUCACUUACGAAGUCACACUGGUGAAAGGCCAUUUAAAUGUGACGUGUGUAACCGUACUUUUGCCACUAAAGCAAUUUUGCGCCAACAUUCCAUCAUCCACACAGUAAGAGAUAGAAAGUUUCAAUGUGAUAUUUGCGAUAAAUUUCUUUUAACUGCUGGCAGUUUAGAGACGCAUAAACGAAAGCAUAGCGGAGUAAAGCCUUUUCAGUGUUCCGGUUGUAAUAAAUCAUUUUUUACAAAGGAGGCCAUGCAGAGACAUUUCGGUGCAAUACACGACACCGACAAUAACUUCUUGUGCAGUGUUUGCUCUAAAGUUUGCAGUACUAAGGUGCACUUAAAUAAUCACAUGAAAAAGAAGCAUUUAGGACUUGGUCUUCCACCGAACGCCGUUUGUACUGAGUGCGGUAAGCAGUGCGGCUCGGCGGCAGAACUUAAAGUGCACGUUCGCGUACAUACCGGUGAACGUCCGUAUGUGUGUGAUAUUUGUCAGAAACGGUUUAUAGCUAAAGGUAAUUUGAAUUCACAUAAGCAAAGACAUUUAGGUAGAAAACCAUUUCUGUGUAAUCAUUGUGGGAAAGCGUUUGGUGAAAGGUCAACACUAAAAGUGCAUGAACGAAUACAUACUGGUGAACAUCCGUAUUCAUGCAAUGUAUGUGGGAAAGCGUAUAUUCAAAGUAGUGCGCUUAGAACACAUAUGAAGAGCCAUUGGAAGUAAAAUUAUUUAACUUUUUUUGUGUAAAAUUAAGUGCUGUAAGUUCAAUGUUAAUGGUCCCCUACACUAAUUUUGAUGUACCUAAGUCGACAACUCCCGAGCUAUCAAAAACGAGAAAAUCACAAACUUGGCACACCACUGUAGUAAUACAAUCCUCACACUUAGGUUGUACUGAUUGGUACCGAAUGCUUAUUAUCAAAAAAAUGGAAUGCCAAUAACACUUAUUGAAUUUGAAAAGCAAAAGAAAGUUUAUUGAAUAAUAUUAAUCAAAAGUGUAAAAUGAAUCAAAGUGUUCAGCAUUUUGAGUUCCUACAAAUUUAGACACAAUGCAUUUAAAGCCAAAUGUAUGACAUGUGCUCCUCCAUUGGACAAAAGAACCAAGCCGAAGAAAAUUUCGAAUCACUGUUCACAAAAGGUAAGUAUAGAGGGAAAUCGGGAGCAAGAGAGAUAACUGUGGAAAACGCUAAACACACAUUUUACAUCACAUCUAUGAUAUACAAAACUUAACAAUGCGAAGAAGUAACUCUUGAAUUUGAAUAAUUUCAACCUGACCGUUGAGUAAAAAAAUUCAACGACCUGACGUUAAUCUAUUACAUUUGAUAAGCUAAAGAAGGGCCAUCCCAAAACAGAUUAAAAAAACUCCAAUGUGUGAAAAAUAACAUUCUGAAGUCUCUUACUUUAAGUAUGUGAAGUACCUACAUUGUUAAUUAUCCGGAGCUUCUCCAGUUCAGAAGGUAUCU